RNAcentral lists this ribosomal RNA (394 nucleotides) under uncultured bacterium. RNAcentral describes it as "bacterial SSU rRNA". It matches the Rfam family "Bacterial small subunit ribosomal RNA", at positions 775 to 1169 of the family's 1533-position model. The record is from RNAcentral.
GGAUUAGAUACCCGGGUAGUCCACGCCGUAAACGUUGGGCGCUAGGUGUGGGGUCCCUUCCACGGGUUCCGUGCCGCAGCUAACGCAUUAAGCGCCCCGCCUGGGGAGUACGGCCGCAAGGCUAAAACUCAAAGGAAUUGACGGGGGCCCGCACAAGCGGCGGAGCAUGUGGCUUAAUUCGAUGCAACGCGAAGAACCUUACCAAGGCUUGACAUGUGCAGAAAUCCGGCAGAGAUGUCGGGUCCGCAAGGGCUGCGCACAGGUGGUGCAUGGUUGUCGUCAGCUCGUGUCGUGAGAUGUUGGGUUAAGUCCCGCAACGAGCGCAACCCUCGUUCUAUGUUGCCAGCGCGUUAUGGCGGGGACUCAUAGGAGACUGCCGGGGUCAACUCGGAGG